CUCCUGAAUGCAACUCAAGCACUUUAAUUAAGCUAAAGCCUCUCUGAAUAGACGGGCCUUGAUCCCGCGAUAUAUUAAUUAACAGCUAACUACCCAAACCAGCGGGCUUCUAUUCGCUUCUCCCGUUGGUUUGGAAACG
RNAcentral lists this transfer RNA (139 nucleotides) under Anolis dracula. RNAcentral describes it as "tRNA-Cys". The record is from RNAcentral. Lineage: Eukaryota; Metazoa; Chordata; Lepidosauria; Squamata; Anolidae.